ACAAAUGACAGUUGAAGAAAAUCAUCAACAGACUCGAAUAAAUUCUUUAGGCCAUUCAAUUUGUGUCCUAUUGAUGAGGUUUCUGAUGUCCUCAACUUGCAUAACUGCUCUUCAAUGUUUACUCUUAGAGGAUGAGAUCUAGAAGGUAAGCUGAUUGAUCGGAGAUGACUAGCUGCCAUUUUUUUCCCUUCUAUUGAGGAAAGCCUAUAGAGAAUUUGAAUGUUGUAAUGGUCUUGGCUGUUGUUCAAACCAACACAUUGAACCUGUUAUAUAUGGAUGAGCAAUCGAUCAUAAGAAGAAUACCAUCUUCUUGAUCUACAUUAGCUGUCAUGUCCUGAGUUUUUGAGACAAUCUUGGCAACCUUUUGUCUGUGCAGUGCUGUUGGUGAGCUGUGAUUUAAAGAAUUGGGCGAUUAUUGGUUAAGUAUUGUUAUACAAACUACAAUUUCUGCGAGGUUCCAACAUCGAGAUCUCCAAGUAAUUAUAUAGCAUUGAUCUUGAAGACAAUGCAUGUAAUGACUCGAUUAAUAUAACCAAAUUAUUAAUUUAAAAUGGCAUUUGAUUGGGUUGUUAAUUUCCUGCUUUUGUUUGCAUGUGCAGAAGCCGAAGGACUGCAAUAAAAAUACUCAUCCACGAGCUGCAGCAUGCAGUUUCAUUAAUAAUUAAUGAGGCUUCUGAACAACUCUCGCUGCCAUGCGGUCCAGGGGUAAGUAGAAUCUUGACAGUCUUGGUUUCUUUUGAAUUCAGACACAGUCCAUGGAUGAUGGAGAUGUAUAAAUAGAAAUUAAAUUAAUAAUGCAACCACGCACAAAGGGGUUUAGCUUAGAUGAAUAAAAUGUUAUUAGAAUUUGGAAGACCAUAAGUGAAGCAUGAUCCACCUAUAUAUGGCCGGAUAUGCAGUUUCCCUGGUUUUUCAUUCAAAUGAAACUGAUGGAGAAGUAAUCAUAACUCCGCAGGCAAUGGUGUGAUUGGAUUAUUCAUGCUUGCUUGCCUUGUGAUAGAGACAUUAGAGUAGUUAUUCUCUGCCAUUUGGAGUUAGCAACCCAUUACAAAUUUCAUCACUAUUUUUUUUGUAGAAAACUUUUUAGUAUUGAAAAUCAGCUUUUUUCAUAAAAAAAAAACCAGUAAUUUAGAGAAACACUAUGAAUAUAAUUGAAGUGCUCAAUUAUAUGAGUAAAAAAGAAUGCAACAAAAGCCUAUAGUACAAUUCAAAAUAUGUACUACAAAUUCAAAAAUCAAAAUUAAUUAACAAUUCAAGGGCUCAAAUUAAAUUGGAAUGCAUGGUAUUAUCAUGGUUUUUUUAUUGCUCUUGUAGUCGAGAAUAAUGGAAACAGGUUUGUGACGGCUGUAUUAUAAUGGCAAUGGCCUAUCGCUAUUCAAAUUCUUUUGAAUAAUUUGCAAAGUUCAUGAUAUGAAGUUCAAUUCCUUGAGUGUGUUUGAGUCUGCAACUGGAUUUGGAUAUAUCAGUUGUUUGUUUCGCUGGAUCAACACUGACCAAAAGCAUCUGUACUUUUCUGUUUAUUUUUUUUUACUCUUUAUCUCUGGAUAUGAAAUCCCAUUAUCCUAGUUCAUCAUAUCCUGUUAAUUCUCGCAAUAAACUAUACACGUACAUUAAGUCAUGCGUACGUAACUACGUAUGUAGCUUGGAUAUGCUAUUAAUUGGGAAUGAUGUUUUGUAGCAAUUCAGUAGUGUUUACUCUAUUGAUAAUGAUUUUGUUAUGUUGAGAGGGGAGAGAAAGCAAAUUGAUGAAAAUAUUUUGCAAUCUUAGUAUUCUGGAUUGAACUUCAUUCUCUAUCUGUAUAUAUACAAAUAUAUCUACAAUUUGGUGUAUAACUCUAUGAUACAAAAUUGUGGUGAGCAGCUGAUGGAAGCAAUAGCUAAUGAUUCAGAAUGUUGAGAAGGGAAACUCUGGUUUUCACCAAUCGUCUAUAGACGCAUUCCAGAUCCUCUUCUGCCUCUUUAAUGCUCGACUCAAAUGCUUCCAAUUCUUUGAGAAGGUUUUGAAGUUGUGAAACUUUGAUGUCUUUGCUUGACUUCAGGAUAAGCAAUUCAGCGUCUAUCUUUUCAACUUCAUUGACUUCAAUUUCCACUUCACAUGAAACACGCUUGGACUGCAGCAAUUUUGGGAUUACAAACCAGCCCGAGGACGAUGAUUUUACCUUGGGCUGAGAAAUGAAAGAUAAGAUCGACUCAAACACCACAAGACUAAUUUCUUGAACUCCUCUUAGCAUGGUGAUCAUGUUCUCCAAAUUGGAGUUAUUGUCCAAGGUUGCUGUCGUGCAAUUUUUCUCCUUUUUCUUCAAAUUUCGUAAGCACUUGCAAAUUGCUUUGUUCAACUUCUUUCUAGAGACCAUGUAUGCAUCAACUUCUACUGUGAAGCUAGAGUCUGUGACUUUUCUUCUGCGUAGAGAUAGUUCAAGUUCUUGCAAACAUUCCUUCAUCUGUGAAAACAAAUCUCUUGUUGUAUCACAUAUAUCCAAUAGCUCCAGAGAUCCAUUCAUUGCAUUUUCUAUGGACUGGCUUUGCCUCUCAUUGGAGAUUGUCUGUUGGGCAAAUGACAGUUGAAGAAAAUCAUCAACAGACUCAAACAAAUUCUUCAGACCACUCAAUUUGUGUCCUAUUGAUGAGUAUUGUGAUGCCCUCAACUUGCCCAACUGCUCCUCAAUGUUUACUGCGAGAGGAUGAGAUCUAGAGGGUAAGCUGAUAGAUCGAAGAUGAAAAGCUGCCAUUUUCUCCCUUCUGCAGAUGAAAGCCUCUAAAGAAUUUGAAUGGACUGGUGGUCUUGGCUGUUGCUUAGACCAACACAUUGAAGCUGUUAUAUAUAUAGAUGAGCAAUAGAUCAUAAGAAGAACCACAUCUUAUUGAUCUACAUUAGCUGUCAUGUCCUGAGUUUUGAGACAGUUCUGAUAAUGUCUCGUCAAUGCGGUGUUUUGAGUGAGCAAUGUGAUUUAAAUAAAUUUGAUGGUUAUUGAUUUAAAAUAUUGUUUAUACAGAGUACCAUGUCUCCAUGGUUCCAACACACAGAUCUCAAGUAAUCAUAUAAAACUAAUCUUGAAUCCAUGCAUGUAAUGGUUCUAUUAAGAUAAUCAAAUUAAUAAUUUAAAAUCGGCAUUUGAUGGGGUUGGUCAAUUUCCUGCUUUUGCUUGCAUGUGCUGAAGCCUAAGGACUUGAAUAAAAAUAAUCACGCCCACGAGCUGCAGGAGCUCUUGAACAACUCUCCCUGCCAUGUGCUUGGCGUCCAGAACCAAGUAGAAACUUGACAGCCUUGGUUUCUUUUAAGAUGCAGUCCAUGGAGGAUAGAGAUUACAAAUAAAUUGUAAUUAAUAAAUAAUGGAACCAUGCACACAGGAGGUGCUAGGAAUUUGGUGGACCAAUCCUGCUAUAUAUGAAGUUUAGCUGAUUUUUAAUAUGAAACUAACUGAUAGAGAAGUAGGCAGAAUUUUGCGAGCAAUGGCUUGAUUGUAGGAAGCUCAACGUGGUUGAAUAUUACUUUGAUAUGAUAGGAAGAGCAAGAGGUGGGUUGUUCAAGCAUACUUAUCUGCUUUGUGCCAAAGAGAUUAGAAUAGCUAUUCUCUAUGAUAAUCUGCAUAUUAAACACUUAAAUUUUGAGUUUUAUUUUAUUUAAAAUAAGUGAAUUUAUUUGAGUUUUGAUAUUUUUGUAGGAUAAGUAAGGAUUAGAGAAUAAUAAGAGAAAGAUCGUAUUUGUGUUUGGAUUAUACAUUCUGAAAUUAAAAAGAGUGCCUUCUACGGUUGUUCAAGAAUUAGAGUUAGUUAACGAUCAUUUCUUAACUAGUUUAAAAACUAAGAAAGAAUUGGAUAUCUAAAAUGUUUUUUAUAUCUGUAACUGUUUUAUCAAUAAAUAAUUUGAAAUUAUCUUUGCAUCUGUCAUCAACUAAUAUAACUGAAACUAAAAUUGAUCAUUUGACUGAAUUCAUGUCAUGUUAAUUUUCUCUCUUAAAUUUAAUUGUUCUUCUUAUUUGGUUAAUUUAGUUUAUUUUCUCAUUGAAAUAAUUCUUAUUUCCUUGCAUUUAAAAUUUUUCAUUUUUAUUUUUAUUUUGCUUUUAUUUACUCAAUAAAAUUACUUUCUGAAGAAUUUUAGAAGAAAUUUUUUAUUUUAUUCCAAUUGAAUUGAUAUUUACAAGGAGGUAGGUUUGAGUAUUUAUAUACAAAGAAUCCAUUUAAAUUAGAAAUAUUUAUGAUAAAAAUAAAAUCAUAAUUAGAAUCCCAAAAAUUUGAAUCAAGCCUAAUUAGGAUCUCAAAUAUUUGAAUCCUUCUAAUUAGGAACCUUCUAUGAUGGUCAAUACUCCCCCUCAAGUUGGUGCAUAGAUAUUACACAUGCCCAACUUGUAAAGUAAGGUGUGGUAGGUCUUGUUACUAAGUCCUUUGGUAAACACAUCAAGUAGCUAUUCAUCGGAAGUCACAUGAUCUAAUCUCAAGACACCAUUUAUUAACUUCUCUUUAAUAAAGUGUCGAUCAAUCUUUAUGUAUUCCGUUCGGUCAUAUUGAACCGGAUUGUGAGCUAUACUUUGGCAGCUUUGUUGUCACAAUACAAGAGGAGUUUGUCCCUCUCUAAUAGUUUCAAUUCAUCCAACAAUCUCUACAACCAUAGGAGUUCACAGAUACAUUGUGCCAUCGCUCUAUAUUCCGCCUCACUUUUUGCUUCUCCAAGUGUUAAGGUUUCAUUCCACAAGUGUACAGUAAUCACUAGUCGACCUUUUAUCGUCAAGAGAUCCAACUCAAUCUACAUCUGUAAAUGCAUGUAUGCGAAGAUGACCAUAUUUAAAGAAUAUGAGACUUGUUCUAGAAGCAAACUUCAAGUAUCGCAAAAUGCGAAAAACAGCUUGCAUGUUAGACUUACGAAGAUCAUGCAUAAACUGAUUGACUAAGCUAACUGCAUAUGCUAUGUCUGGUCAAGUAUGAGAAAGAUAAAUCGGUCUGGUUACCAAUUUCUGAUAUCUGUCAAUAUCCACUGAUUCACCAAUCUCUGCUUGUAGCUUGUGAUUGCUCUCAAUGGGAGUUUCUGCUAGUUUGCAACCUAACAUACUAGUUUCUUCCAAAACAUUCAGAAUAUAUUUUCUCUGAAAAAUAAAGAUUUCCUUCUUUAACCUGACAACCUCGAUUCCCAGGAAAUAUUGCAAUUUUUCUAGAUCUUUAACUUCGAAUUCCUAAGCUAAAAGUUUUUUCAAUUGAGUCAUCUCUUCAAUGUCAUUCCCGUCAUUACUAUGUCAUCAACAUAAACUAUGAGAAGAGUAAUUUUACCUCUAUGUUGAUGACAUAGUAAUAACGGGGAUGACACUGAAGAGAUGACUCGGUUUAAAAAACUUUUAGCUCAGGAGUUUGAAAUUAAAGAUCUAGAAAAACCAAACUAUGGGUGACUGUUUCAAUCUAGACAAAGUUUUCUUUAGCUUGCACACCUUUUAUUGUGUUUUUUCAUCAGCAAAUUCAGGAGAAAUUUCCAUAUACAGUUCCUCCUCCAAGUCUCUAUGAAAGAAUGCAUUUUUCACAUCAAAUUGUUGUAGAUCCCAGUCAAGGUUGACAGCAUAAUAUAACAAUACUCUGAUUAAGUUCAUUUUAGCAGUAGGGACAAAUAUCUCCUGGUAAUACGCUCCAUAGGUUUGAGUGUAUCCCUUGGUAACUAGUCUAACCUUGAAUCUUUUAAUUGAUCUAUCUGCUUUGUGUUUCACAGUGAAAUCCCCUUUGCAGCCAACUGGUUUUUUUUCCAGGUGGAAGAGACAUCAACUCUCGGUUCUCAUUUUUAGCCAAGACUUUCAUUUUUUUAAUCAUUGCUCUCUUCUAAUUAGAAUCUUUGAGAGUUUCCUUCUAAUCCUGUGGGAUAGACACAGAGGAAAUAGACAAAACAAAAACUCUAUAGGAUAGAGAAACAUAAUCAUAAGAGAGAAGGUUAGAAAUAGAGUGCUUGUGCAAGAUCGAACUCCUUUUUUUUUGAACAAUUGGUUUAUUUAGAUCAUCAAUGGGCUCAAAGUUUAAGGAUUACUCAUCAGAUGGAGAAGAAGAAGAUUCAUAACAUUGAGUAGGCUACACAAUAGCUUUUUCUACUUCUAGUUUGUGUUUUCUUGAGUAUCUCCUUAAAUCUAGUUUAUCCAGACACCCAAUUUGAUCACCAAUAGUCUCUCCUGUAUAAUAAUCUUUCCCUGUGUACUAGUCUCCUCUAGACUAAAACGUUUAGUAAUAGUAAUGAUUAGAAAUUAAAAAGUCUACUGAUAAGAAAUUAAAAAGUCAUAUAUAAAUUGUAAUACUAAAGAUAAAAAAAUUUAUUUAUUAUGGAGAUAUUAAUUAGUAAUAUUAUUAAAUAUGAAAAUAUAACUUGAAAAUAAAAAUAAAAAUAAAAAUAAAAUAUAUUAAGUGUGCUACUUGGCACAAUAUACAAAUUUAAGAGAGCCACUUAGGUGUAAUUAUCUGAACCUAACUAUGUCAUUUGUCGAUCUUUUCAUAGCCUAUUUUAGAACUCAACUUUAUUUAUAUAGAUAGAUAGAUCGAUUUCUUAAGACAUUUGCAAAUUGCUUUCUUCAGCUUUUUUCUAGAAAUCAUGUAUGCAUCAACUUCGUCUCUCAAGCCACAGUCUCUGCCUUUUCUUCUACGAAGAGAUAAUUCAAGCUCCUGAACACAUUCUUUCAUCUGUGAGAAAAAGUCUCUUGUGGAAUCACACAAAUCCAACAGCUCCAGAGAUCCAUUCAAUACAUUUUCUACACACUGGCUUUGCCUCUCAUGACAGAGAGUCUGUUGGGCAUGUGGCAGUUGAAGCAAAUCAUCAACACACAAACAAAUUUUUUAGGCCACUCAAUUUGUGGCCUUUUGAUGAAGACUGCGAUGCCUUCAACUUGCAUAGCUGCUCCUCAAUCUUAGAAUAGGAGAAGAAAACAGAGGAGAGAAGUGAAGUAACAAGAGAGAAAAAAAUUUUUCAAAUAGCAUAUCAUUCAAGACUUGAUCAGCUUUCCAUUAUACAAAGUAAAGAUAUGGAAAAAUAAUUUUAUCAGUACAAAUUUUCAACUAACAGCUACCCAAUACAAAAGAAAACCACAAAAGUAGCUGCUGACUUUCUUGCUAUAAUCAAGUCCCUGUUCUACUAACUUUUUACUGACUAAAGUAAAAUUCAAGAAAUUAUAUUUCAGUUGAUUUCCAGAAAUUCAGGUCUUCAUGUUCAGAGGGAAACUCAACUACUGUCACUCAAUACUAACAGUUAGAGGAUGAGAUCUGGAUGGUAAACUGAUUGAACGAAGAUGACAAGCAGCUUUUUUUUUUUUUUUGGCUUCUUGAAGAAAACCUACCAAGAAUGUGAGUGUACAGGUGGUCUUGGUUGCUGUUUAACCCAAUCAAUUGAACAUCUUAUAUAUGCAAGAGCACCAGAAAUAGGAAUCCAUCUUCCUGACCUGCAUUAGCUGUCAUGUGCUGAGUUUUGCUACUGUCCCAGCAAUGUCUCAACAAUGUUAUGCUGUGAUUAAGGAAUAUGAUUAAAAAAAAUUAUUAUAAUAUCGUCACAACAAAUACCAUGUGCCUCAAGGUCCCAAGGCACUGUGAUAACCAUCAAAUUAUGUAGUAUUAAACUUGAAAGCGUGCAUAUGAUGAUUUUACUUAGAUAACAAUAAUAAUAAUUGUUUGACAUUGUGAUUGAUGAAGUUGUUUGGUGUUUGCAUGUGCAGAAUCUGACAAACUUCGGUAAAAUAUUAACAUCCAUGUGCAAGAUGCAGCUUCCUUUCUAGACAAACAAGAACCUGCACAUUGUUGUUGUUGUUUUCAUAUAUUUUCUGCAUGCCAAUGGAUGAUGAGACUCUCGAGCCUUAAGCAACUCUGGUUGUGAUGCCUGGUGUCUGUGAACAGGUAGAAUCUUGACAACAUCUGUUUUGCUUAAAUUAAGCACAUACCACGCAUGGUGUAGAUAAAUAAAUUAAUAACCCAAUCAUAGAGGAGAUGAUAAAGUCUGGUUGGCCAAAAGGGAAAGCAUGAUCCACCUAUAUUGCUGCAGAUCAAGUUUAGCUGUCCUUUUUCCUGAACCAAGUAAUGAGAGAAAGAUGCUGAACAUUUUUAAAAUGCACUCCAUCUUUUUUCUUUUAAUUAAAUAAAUGGCAAUGUUGUCCUCACUUUGAUAUGAUUAAAUAACAAGUCAAGUAUGGAUAAUAUAGUCAUUAAUUAAACAAAAAAAGAUAGAAUGAGGUGCAUUUAAGAAAUUUACAUCCAAUUUAUUAAACUAAAACUCCUAUAGAGAAAUUCCUAGGACUCUAAUGAUCAAGAAAUUCUAUUGGUUUAUAUUUGCAAUGCUUUGAUUGAAGUCUUGACUAUCAAGAAAAUCUGUUUACGCUUAUUAGCUUGUACGCUGAUUUACUCCAUCAACAGCAAAAAUAAUUAGUUUUAAACGAUCAAGAAAAGGCAAAUUGAUGUGACGUUUGCAAUCUUAACGUGUUCGUAUUAAAUUUCAUUCUCUAUCUGUACAUAUAUCAACAAUUUGCAGUAUAAUUUAUGAUACAAAAUUGUGUUGGGCAGUUGAUGGAAGCAAGGACACUAAUGAUUCAGAAUGUUGAGUAGGGAUACUCUGGUUUUCACCAAUCGCCUAUAGAUGCAUUCCAGCUCCUCUUCUGCCUCUUUCAUGCUUGACUCAAAUGCUUCCAAUUCUUUAAGAAGUUUUUGAAGUUGUGAAAGACUGAUGUCUUUGCUUGAUUUCAG
This 8676-nucleotide long non-coding RNA is filed under the name Manihot esculenta (cassava). RNAcentral describes it as "long non-coding RNA (MESC_LNC008139)". Lineage: Eukaryota; Viridiplantae; Streptophyta; Magnoliopsida; Malpighiales; Euphorbiaceae. The record is from RNAcentral.